UUGUGUAGAUGGAACUGCCAUUCACUGGCUUUGAGCUGACCUUCAUCAUCGUUGCCUUCAUCAUCUUCUCUCUCUUCAGUUUGGCUUCAGUCUGCUUUCAGCCACAGGCAGCCCAGCCAGAAAAAGAUGUCUAUCAAGUGAAGAAACUGCAGCCAUGUAACAGGAAGCAGAGAGUGAUCAUCAAAGAAGCUGGACAGAGCGCAUAAAGCAAACAUUAUAAACCUCAGCUGAGUGAAGGCAAAACUGAAAACACCGCUUACUGUUCUGUUUGUUUUGGAUUAGUGUUGACGCAAUGCCCAUUACAGUAGGUUCCCACAAUAAAGAUAAGGUGGCAAUAAACUUGUACCCUAUUAAUUAUACAGCUUCAUGAGUUAUGAGUAUCGCUAUAAGGUAAUCAUUAAGAAGUAUAACACAAAUUGCUAGUAGCAUAACGUGAUCUCAGCGUAUUUGUUUAGGUAUCUGGAGAGGACGAUUAGCUAAACUUGUAGAGCAAAGAUCGUGUUUGUACAGUUUACCACUGUAACACCACAUCUUUUCUUUCCUCUAUGAUAAUUUGCUCUUUAGCUCCAUCUACAGUUUUCAAAAAGCAUCAGCUGAAUUCUAAACUGAGGCCACGGAAAAGGAGGUUGAGUUAAAUGCCGGGAGCUGAAGAACCAGACAGAGCCGAACACUGAUGCACAGAUCUCUGACAAGCCGUGAUGUCUGAGUUAGGAUUUAACAAACCAAGUGACUUUAGGCCCCUGUAGCCCUCGUGGGGUGACAUCCCAGGGGGUUAGAGGCUGCUCCCUGUGGAGAAUGCCCCUCGACCCUUGAGCCCUCCGUCACUCCUCUGGAGUCAGCUGUCUAGCUGUUGACAUGAAGCGGAGGAGGAGCUCCAGAAUAAAGCAACUGAGGAAGUUUUUUUUUUUUUAAAGCCAGCGUCUUUGGUGUGUAAUGAUGAUCCUGUGUGUGUGUGUGUGUGUGUGUGUGUACUGGGUGUGUACUCCUGUUCAUGUGUAUAUGCAGCCAUUGAGGUUAGUAUUGGGCUGUUGAAGAGAUAAAGGGUCUUCAGAGUAAUUAAGCUCUGGCUGGAUGGCUACAGCCCUCAUUAACACUGACGAUAUUGUGGCAUGACAACAGACCCACUAUCACUCUAAUGAUGGUCAAUGAACUAACUCAACAGGCCACAAUCCACACCCGUGCACACAGACACAAGGGCAAAGACACACCCCUACAAAUUCAGACAUCACGGCACAUUUCAACUAUGACCACUCGUUUCAUCACCUACACUCUGCUCCUGAAUGAGAAACAGAGCAACCCACACAAGCUCUGGCCAUCACGUCAGCUCUUUGAUUCAGAAGACCUUAGACUAUAGAAACAUCUCACAUGCAAACGAGAGGGGUGAUCAUUUUUAAAAAGAAACAAACGUAAACUCUUCCAUUUAAAGCACAAGGAGGUCAUAAUUAUACGCAAUCUUUGGACUAUUUGUGAAUCUUAUAAUGUCUUAUAAUGCCAAUAUUUGUUUUUAUUCUGUUUAUUUUGGUUUUCUUGGUAUUCAUUCCCUCUUCUGUGCCAGAGAAACAAAGAAAUAUUAACUGUAAAUAUCAGCUUAGCUGUUGAACCACAUUGUCUUUGAACAUUCACCCAUCACUAAAUUGACCGAAUCAUAUUUUCAGGCCAGCAGUAUUUGCAACAAGGCUUAUAACAACCUAUAUGCCUAUAUUAGCCUUCAUUAUUUUCUCAUCUAAUCCAUUCUGUAUCAUAUUACCCAGAAAUUUCCCAGAAAUUCAGAACUCAUUCACAUUGUCUUUCUUGAACAACCAGCAAUGUGUAAAAUGGAAAUCUGUUCAGCUUUCUAUCAUAACAUGUAGCCCAACUGCUAAAUAUUUACAUUUGAGAACCUACGAUGAAAAAUAUUUAUAACUAAAUAUUUCCGUUAAACCGACUGGUUCUGGUAUCUUUGUUUUUAGCAAAAUAAAUCCUUGAUAAAUCAUAAUGCUGUGUUAUAUUGGUCAUGAAAUAUUUCAAUAUUACCAUUGAGCAGUCCUGCUGCUCAUGACGUUUUAAUAUAACUGUGUCUAAUGUAAAAGGCAGCUGUGUAUGAAUGGUACUGUGAAAUCUGGUAAUAAAGAUGGAAAGUUUAUUGGG
Long non-coding RNA from Oreochromis niloticus (Nile tilapia), 2127 nucleotides. RefSeq lists it as uncharacterized. The record is from RefSeq and is a predicted model, not a curated record. NCBI's taxonomy places the organism in Eukaryota, Metazoa, Chordata, Actinopteri, Cichliformes, Cichlidae. The transcript is spliced from 2 exons.